GCAUAUCAAUAAGCGGAGGAAAAGAAAAUAACAAUGAUUCCCCUAGUAACUGCGAGUGAAGAGGGACAAGCUCAAAUUUUAAAUCCGUCGGGUUUCACCUGACCGAGUUGUAAUUUGAAGAGGCGUUUUCCGCGUUUUUGAUCAGUCCAAGUCCUUUGGGAUAGGGCAUCAUGGAGGGUGAGAAUCCCGUUCGGCUGAUCAGAUUCGCUCUACGAUACGUCAUCUAAGAGUCAAGUUGUUUGGGAAUGCAGCUUAAAAUGGGAGGUAAAUUUCUCCUAAGGCUAAAUAACGGCGAGAGACCGAUAGCGAACAAGUACCGUGAGGGAAAGAUGAAAAGAACUUUGAAAAGAGAGUUAAACAGUACGUGAAAUUGUUGAAAGGGAAACGAUUGAAGCCAGUCGUACCGGUGGGUAAUCAGCCUUUCGGCGUGAUUAUGUGGAGCGUGAGGAGUUAAACGCCCUCAUGCCUGCAUAUUCGUGUUCUUUGGGUGUACUUACCCGCAUGGUAGGUUAACAUCAAUUUCGAACGUCAUAAAAUGGUUGGAGGAAUGUAGCUUCGAUCUCGUAUUGAAGUGUUAUAGCCUCCGGCAGAUGUGAUGAUCGGGAUUGAGGAUUGCAACGGAUACCCUUCGGGGCUACCCGUCUGAUCUCUGAAAGUUACUCUGGUGCCGAAAGCUCGCUUACGGUCAUCAAAGUUGACGUUCAACAGGUUAGAACGGGAUAAAUUCGUUAAGGAUGUUGACGUAAUGGCUUUAAACGAC
This 760-nucleotide ribosomal RNA is filed under the name uncultured Glomus. RNAcentral's name for it is "eukaryotic LSU rRNA". It matches the Rfam family "Eukaryotic large subunit ribosomal RNA", at positions 38 to 648 of the family's 3401-position model. The record is from RNAcentral. Lineage: Eukaryota; Fungi; Glomeromycota; Glomeromycetes; Glomerales; Glomeraceae.